Long non-coding RNA from Xenia sp. Carnegie-2017, 224 nucleotides. RefSeq lists it as uncharacterized. The transcript has 2 exons. NCBI's taxonomy places the organism in Eukaryota, Metazoa, Cnidaria, Anthozoa, Malacalcyonacea, Xeniidae. The record is from RefSeq and is a predicted model, not a curated record.
UGGACUACUCCUCUUUUGAAGAGUCUAGUCAGAGUGAAGAUUUAGAUGAAGAUACCACAAGUAAUACAGUCAGAAUUGAUGAAGGAGCAAGCUCGCAUAAACAACCUAUGUUCAUGGUAUUUUACAUCUCAUUGGUUGAGUUAUUUGAAAAAUUUUGCUUUAACUGCAAGGCUGAAAAUCCAAAAGUACACAUUAAAAACAUUGGUUCGAUGGCCAUUGUAGAG